Molecule: ribosomal RNA, 350 nt
Filed under: uncultured Sphingobacteriales bacterium
Lineage: Bacteria; Pseudomonadati; Bacteroidota; Sphingobacteriia; Sphingobacteriales
Description: bacterial SSU rRNA
Rfam family: Bacterial small subunit ribosomal RNA
Source: RNAcentral
UACAAGGUGCUGCAUGGUUGUCGUCAGCUCGUGCCGUGAGGUGUCGGGUUAAGUCCCAUAACGAGCGCAACCCUAUCAUUAGUUGCCAUCAGGUCAAGCUGGGGACUCUAAUGAAACUGCCUACGCAAGUAGUGAGGAAGGUGGGGAUGACGUCAAAUCAGCACGGCCCUUACGUCCAGGGCUACACACGUGCUACAAUGGCCGGUACAAAGGGCAGCUACCUGGUGACAGGAUGCAAAUCUCCAAAGUCGGUCUCAGUUCGGAUCGGAGUCUGCAACCCGACUCCGUGAAGUUGGAUUCGCUAGUAAUCGCGCAUCAGCCAUGGCGCGGUGAAUACGUUCCCGGGCCUU